UACGUCGGGGGCUAGCGUUGUCCGGAAUCAUUGGGCGUAAAGAGCGUGUAGGCGGCUCGGUAAGUCCGCUGUGAAAGUCCAGGGCUCAACCCUGGAAUGCCAGUGGAAACUGUCGAGCUAGAGUCCGGAAGAGGCGAGUGGAAUUCCUGGUGUAGCGGUGAAAUGCGCAGAUAUCAGGAGGAACACCAAUGGCGAAGGCAGCUCGCUGGGACGGUACUGACGCUGAGACGCGAAAGCGUGGGGAGCAAACAGG
This 253-nucleotide ribosomal RNA is filed under the name uncultured bacterium. Its description in RNAcentral is "partial 16S ribosomal RNA". It matches the Rfam family "Bacterial small subunit ribosomal RNA", at positions 524 to 776 of the family's 1533-position model. The record is from RNAcentral.